This 627-nucleotide ribosomal RNA is filed under the name uncultured Russulaceae. RNAcentral describes it as "LSU rRNA". It matches the Rfam family "Eukaryotic large subunit ribosomal RNA", at positions 47 to 649 of the family's 3401-position model. The record is from RNAcentral. Lineage: Eukaryota; Fungi; Basidiomycota; Agaricomycetes; Russulales; Russulaceae.
UAAGCGGAGGAAAAGAAACUAACAAGGAUUCCCCUAGUAACUGCGAGUGAAGCGGGAAAAGCUCAAAUUUAAAAUCUGGCGGUCUUUGGCCGUCCGAGUUGUAAUUUAGAGAAGCGUCUUCCGCGCCGGACCGUGCACAAGUCUCCUGGAAUGGAGCGUCAUAGAGGGUGAGAAUCCCGUCUUUGGCACGGAUGCCCGGUGCUUCUGUGAUGCGCUCUCGAAGAGUCGAGUUGUUUGGGAAUGCAGCUCAAAAUGGGUGGUGAACUCCAUCUAAAGCUAAAUAUUGGCGAGAGACCGAUAGCGAACAAGUACCGUGAGGGAAAGAUGAAAAGCACUUUGGAAAGAGAGUGAAACAGUACGUGAAAUUGUUGAAAGGGAAACGCUUGAAGUCAGUCGCGUCGACCGAGACUCAGCCUUGCCUCGGCUUGGUGUACUUCUCGGCCCGACGGGUCAGCGUCAAUUUUGCCCCUCGGAUAAUGGCAAGGGAAAGGUGGCACCUUUACGGGUGUGUUAUAGUCUCCUGUCGCAUGCGAGGGGUGGGACUGAGGAACUCAGCGCGCACCUUGGUGUCGGGGCUUCGGCCCACGUCACGCGCUUAGGAUGCUGGCGUAAUGGCUUUAAACGACC